Molecule: unclassified non-coding RNA, 263 nt
Filed under: Celastrus punctatus
Lineage: Eukaryota; Viridiplantae; Streptophyta; Magnoliopsida; Celastrales; Celastraceae
Description: partial contains external transcribed spacer and 18S ribosomal RNA
Source: RNAcentral
UGCGGGAUGAACUCGUUGGUGCUUUGCAUGUUCCUUUGUAAGCCGUUGGCUUAUCUCUCGGCCCAUGCUCGGUUACCUGACCCUUGGAUGCUGAAAAUUAAGUGGGCAAGGGGUUGAGGAAAACCCUCUUGAUAAGCCUGAUCCUUGCGCUCAUCGCUCGAACCGAAAGACGUUGUGGCUCGCCUUGGCAUUCUUGAACCAUUGGUUCUCGUAAUGGCCAUGCGUUGUCCCAAUCGUCCCGAGGAAAGCUACCUGGUUGAUCC